AUACUCUAGCCAAUUACCAUACAGACCAAACCAAGCUGGAUUGAAUCGUCUCAUUUUACCACCUAUGAGUCUCUUUUCAAAGUUAUGACCAAGUGGUUGACACGGGCCUCUAAGAAGGUACUUGCGUCUUACCUCAUCGACUUGAUUUGCAUUAUAAUCCUUGAUAUUUUUUCUUUUAGCAGGAUCCCACGGCAAAUCAUCAGUAUCAUUAGAUGGUAAGGUGUUAUCAGAUGGUGAAACUGAUGCUGGUUUGUAGUACCGUUCCAUUGAUUAAUCUACAAAACCAAAAACAUAACAUAAAUA
This 303-nucleotide long non-coding RNA is filed under the name Brassica rapa (field mustard). RNAcentral's name for it is "long non-coding RNA (BRAP_LNC004084)". Lineage: Eukaryota; Viridiplantae; Streptophyta; Magnoliopsida; Brassicales; Brassicaceae. The record is from RNAcentral.